CUAAUUUGAACUCCCCAAGUUACCAGACCCCCAAUGCUGCAACAUUAUCCCUUUGAAUCCUCACCCUUACUACUGCAACCAAUUUCUCACCCUUGUUGCUGUCCAUUUCACAACAUGAUGAUCUAAGUUCCUGUAAUAUUAACUUAUUUUUCCACUCUCCACCUAAAUAAUAGUACUUGCAAUUUCCCUCUUUACUCUCUCAGCCCAUCAUUCACAAGCUAUCAAUGAAAGUUCUGUAAAUACUAGAUUUCCUCUAUGCAUUCUAUUGUUAAAAUAGAGCAUGUAUUAUACUAUACCCUGUUGGUUUGAGCAUGUGACAAGCUCUGCAUGUGUGUUUUUGGCAUUGUAUAUAUCUACCACUUGUGCAUUCAGUAUAACACUACUCAAAUUCCUCUGGAUUUAAUUCCAUAUAGUACAUAAGACUUGCCAUUCAGUGAAGUUUACAUCAAGUGUUAGCUUGCACUGCACUUUCACAAGAAUUUCUUUACAUUCCUGUGUGGAUCUUGCACUCUGCAUACUGUCAAUUGUGAGCAUGUUGGAAACUCCACAAUUGUGAGUGUUUUUUUAUUUUUUUAAAUAAAUUUUUCACUUUUAUAGCACCUAUAAGAAUGUGAGAAUUACUACACUUUUAGUGCGCUCUUGCUUUAUAACUCUUAAGGUGACACACUUAGGACAAUUAUCCUAAGAGGGGAUUGUACUGCUAUACACUGCCCAUACUAGAGCUUAUAUAAUAGAGAAAAUUUAUGACAAACUUACCGUAAUUUUCUUUUCCUGGCUAUUUCUCAUGGCAGCAUCACUUAUGGGUAGCUCCCCCCGUAGCAGUCACAGGACAGAAAUUAAUUAGAUUAAUUAAUUAGACUGAUAGGUAUAAAGAGUCCCUCCUCUCCCUACCCUUCAGUCCAAUUAUAAAGCGGGAAAAAAAUUAAAGAAUGGGCGGGAACCCUGAUGCUGCUAUGAGAAACAGCCAGGAAAAGAAAAUUAUGGUAAGUUUGUCAUAAAUUUUCUCUAUUCCUGGCUAAUCAUGGCAGCAUCACUUAUGGGUAAUACCCAAACUGUAAGAUAUAUAGGGUGGUGUGGCGAAAGUGACCUCGCCACUGGUUUUUGGAGGGGCCUGUUUGCCAGCCACCUGCCCUGUGACUAUGGCACUGGGAUGUAUUGCCCUUCUAUGAACUGAUUUUGGCAUAUUGUAUUUUAUUAUGCUGCUGGCCCUUUAAGAACCAUCUGGGGACAUACUGUGGAGUUACUGGGUGGCCACCAUUUCAUGUAUAAGAGGCACAUGGUGAGAACAAUGUAUGGCGGCCAUUUUAACUCACAGACACUGUUUUGACUUUUCUACAUGGUGCCAUCUCGCCGGUAUUUGGUGCACAAAGACAUCGUUCAGUAGUUUUAAACUACAGAACAGGGGACACAUUUAACAGUAAUUAUUUUUCAUAUAGCCUGUAUAUGUUCUGUGGAAUCUGCAUUAAACCGUAUCUUCCAAACUAUUGAAUGGAUAUGGGGUUAUUGCAUGUUUUGGGGUCCCUGUGAUAUGUUUUAUAAUACUGUAUUUCUCUGCCUGGGAUAAUUAUAUUAACCAUUGUGUUCAGUAAUCUUAUCAUAGGCAGAGGGGAGGAUUUUGUGUGGGAGUGUCUGUAUUGUACGGAUUGAUUGGUUGUAUUUCAAAACCCUG
This 1669-nucleotide long non-coding RNA is filed under the name Pelobates cultripes (western spadefoot toad). Lineage: Eukaryota; Metazoa; Chordata; Amphibia; Anura; Pelobatidae. The record is from RNAcentral.